AUCAUUAAUCAAAUCAUUUGUUCGAUUAAUAUAUCAUAACGUAACACAUAACACUGCCUAUUGCAGUCAGCACAUAAUCUAAUCACCUUAUCACACAUGUUCAACAGUCAUGGUUUCACAAACAAACAUCAACACAUUCCUAAUCGCAUUGUUACAUAACCUUAACCACCAUUGAAUCACAAAUAAACAGUUAACUAACUAAAUUAUCCAUGUCCAGAUCAAUUUCUGAACCAUGCCGGUCUAUCGACAACUUUAUCGGGUA
This 262-nucleotide long non-coding RNA is filed under the name Panax ginseng (ginseng). RNAcentral's name for it is "long non-coding RNA (PGIN_LNC006820)". The record is from RNAcentral. Lineage: Eukaryota; Viridiplantae; Streptophyta; Magnoliopsida; Apiales; Araliaceae.